RNAcentral lists this ribosomal RNA (616 nucleotides) under Polyporus radicatus. RNAcentral describes it as "eukaryotic LSU rRNA". The stretch from base 224 to 377 matches the Rfam family "5.8S ribosomal RNA". Lineage: Eukaryota; Fungi; Basidiomycota; Agaricomycetes; Polyporales; Polyporaceae. The record is from RNAcentral.
UAAGGAUCAUUAAUGAGUAUUGAACUGGGUUGUAGCUGGUCUUAUCAGACAUGUGCUUGCCCUUUUCAAAUCCACUUUACACCUGUGCACUCUUUGUGGGCUUUGGUUUUGGGUGGAUCCUGUUUUUUUAUAACUUGAUUCUUCAGGCCAAUGUCCAUGUUUUAUUACAAACCCUUUGUAAGAUUUUAGAAUGUGCAUUGCGAAAUAUAACGCAUCUUUAUACAACUUUCAGCAACGGAUCUCUUGGCUCUCGCAUCGAUGAAGAACGCAGCGAAAUGCGAUAAGUAAUGUGAAUUGCAGAAUUCAGUGAAUCAUCGAAUCUUUGAACGCACCUUGCGCUCCUUGGUAUUCUGAGGAGCACACCUGUUUGAGUGUCGUGAAAUACUCAACCUACAAACCUUUGUGUUUUGUUAGGCUUGGACUUUGGAGGUUUGUUGGCAGUCUGUCUGUCAACUCUUCUUAAAUUCAUUAGCUUGGUUCCUUGUGGAUCGACUCUCGGUAUCAUAAUUGUCUGUGCCGUGACCGUGAAGCAUUUGGCAGGCUUCUAACUCUCCCUUAUGGGGAGACUUAUUUGACAUCUGGCCUCAAAUCAGGUGGGAUUACCCGCUGAACUUAA